GGGGCGCAGCAGGCGCGAAACCUUAGCAAUGUGCGAAAGCACGACUGGGUCAGUGCGAGUGAUUCCUGAUAAAGGAGUCUUUUUCUUGUCCUAAAAGCUCAGGUGAAUAAGGGGUGGGCAAGUCUGGUGUCAGCCGCCGCGGUAAUACCAGCACCACGAGUGGUCAGGACGUUUAUUGGUCCUAAAGCAUCCGUAGCCGGCUCUGCAAGUCUUCGGUUAAAUCCACCUGCUCAACAGAUGGGCUGCUGGAGAUACUACAGAGCUAGGGAGUGGGAGAGGCAGACGGUAUUCAGUGGGUAGGGGUAAAAUCCUCUGAUCCAUUGAGGACCACCAGUGGCGAAGGCGGUCUGCCAGAACACGUUCGACGGUGAGGGAUGAAAGCUGGGGGAGCAAACCGGAUUAGAUACCCGGGUAGUCCCAGCUGUAAACGAUGCAAACUCGGUGAUGCAUUGGCUUAUGGCCAAUGCAGUGCCGCAGGGAAGCCGUUAAGUUUGCCGCCUGGAAGUACG
Molecule: ribosomal RNA, 509 nt
Filed under: uncultured crenarchaeote
Lineage: Archaea; Thermoproteati; Thermoproteota
Description: bacterial SSU rRNA
Rfam family: Archaeal small subunit ribosomal RNA
Source: RNAcentral